CCACCAUGUCAAUCAAUAUAUAUCUAAAGCAUACUGACCAAAUAGGCAACUCCGAAGCAAGUGGAGUGCACCAACACCUCCGCUGAGCUGAUAGCCUACUAGGAGGAAUGUCAACCUAUCAAUUGGGACCUGCAGGCAUGAAACGCAGCGUCCCCAGGCAAAAGGGACGUCGGUACCAAUAAAGUACCGAGUAUGUAAAGCAAGAAAGCAUAAACAAGAAUAGUAAUAUAAAGAGAGAUAGAGGAGAUACAACCUGUAACAUCUGCGUGCCUCUGUGAGCUGCUGACAUGAAAUGCGUAAUACAUAUAUAUACAUAAACUUUUAAAAAUAUACGCGUCUGUAGGCAUCAUCAUCAUCAUCAUAUCGUACCCAGCCUCAAAGAGGACUCGGUAAAAACGUACCCGGUCAUCAUAAGGCUCGGUAGAAUCGUACCCGGCCACGUGGAGCUCGGUAAAUCCAACUGAUCAGUGGUUACACAAUAUAUAUCGUACCCGACCUACUAUAGUGCGGCUCGGUAGAGUAAAAUAGAUAUUAUAUAUAAUGCAUGCUAAACUCAUGGAAUCACGUUCUAAACCUUUUGGAGUGACUUAAGGUCGUUGCACCUUCGAUUAACAUUAUGGACAUCAUACCAUCAAUAUGAGCUUCUAUAGGAUUCAAGGAUCAUACAUACUUGCUUAGAAUAACUUUAUAAGGAAAGAACAACAUGGGCAACCUUAGUUUCUAGGAGUAGAUCUGUUACGAAAUAGUGUAUUCAUUUCACUUUAGAUCAUGCCAAAAGAAAGAGGGAAGUGCCUUAACAUACCUUAACCAUGGUGAGUCCUUAAUACAUCUUAAGCAACUCUUCAAACAACUCAACUCAAUCUACCAUUGCAUAAGGAGAUUCAAAAUUAGUGUUGAAUAAAGGCUAAGUUUGCAACUUAAACUUGUAGCUCAUUUAUAUAAAUUCGGGCAGCAUCUCCCCAGUAACAAGAGCCUCCUCCAAUACCAUAUACCAACAACAAUUACCAGAGAAAUCCAUCAAUACCAAUUAUC
This 1032-nucleotide long non-coding RNA is filed under the name Nicotiana tabacum (common tobacco). RNAcentral describes it as "long non-coding RNA (NTAB_LNC017722)". Lineage: Eukaryota; Viridiplantae; Streptophyta; Magnoliopsida; Solanales; Solanaceae. The record is from RNAcentral.